Molecule: ribosomal RNA, 661 nt
Filed under: uncultured cyanobacterium
Lineage: Bacteria; Bacillati; Cyanobacteriota
Description: bacterial SSU rRNA
Rfam family: Bacterial small subunit ribosomal RNA
Source: RNAcentral
GGUGAGUAACGCGUGAGAAUCUACCUCUAGGAGGGGGAUAACAGUUGGAAACGAUUGCUAAAACCCCAUAUGCCAUUAUUGGUGAAAAAGGUUUAUCUGCCUGGAGAUGAGCUCGCGGCUGAUUAGCUAGUUGGUAAGGUAAUGGCUUACCAAGGCGACGAUCAGUAGCUGGUCUUAGAGGAUGAUCAGCCACACUGGAACUGAGAUACGGUCCAGACUCCUACGGGAGGCAGCAGUGGGGAAUUUUCCACAAUGGGCGAAAGCCUGAUGGAGCAAUACCGUGUGAGGGAUGAAGGCCUGUGGGUUGUAAACCUCUUUUUUCAGGAAAGAAAAUUUGACGGUACCUGAAGAAUAAGCAUCGGCUAACUCCGUGCCAGCAGCCGCGGUAAUACGGAGGAUGCAAGCGUUAUCCGGAAUCACUGGGCGUAAAGCGUCUGUAGGUGGUUUAUCAAGUCUGUUGUUAAAGCUUGAGGCUUAACCUCAAAAAAGCAGUGGAAACUGAUAGACUAGAGAAUGGUAGGGGCAGAGAGAAUUCUCAGUGUAGCGGUGAAAUGCGUAGAUAUUGAGAAGAAUACCGAUAGCGAAGGCGCUCUGCUGGGCCAUUGCUGACACUCAGAGACGAAAGCUAGGGGAGCAAAUGGGAUUAGAUACCCCAGUAGUC